RNAcentral lists this unclassified non-coding RNA (211 nucleotides) under uncultured Hypocreales. Its description in RNAcentral is "sequence contains ITS2". The record is from RNAcentral. Lineage: Eukaryota; Fungi; Ascomycota; Sordariomycetes; Hypocreales.
CAACCCUCAGGCCCCCCUAGGGCGUGCCUGGUGUUGGGGAUCGGCGGCUGGGUGGGAUGGUCUCUCCUCCUGGGGGAAGCCGCCUGCCCGCACCCGCCGCCCCCGAAAUGAAUUGGCGGUCUCGUCGCGGCCUCCUCUGCGUAGUAGCACACAACCUCGCAGCAGGGAGCGCGGCGCGGCCACUGCCGUAAAACGCACCAAAACUCCUCAG